UAUGAAUUUGGUAUCAGCCUCAUAAAGAAUGUUUUGUUAUCCUUCGCCACUCUUCUUCAACCUCUAAACUCUGUUUGCAAACACAAAGUUUUUUUUCUAUCACGAUGUUAAGUAGUAGAGACCACCCCCUCCCUCCGCUUCCUUCCCUCCUUCCUCCAACGACGACCUCGAGAGCAUCUCCGCGGCGCGCGGAGCCAAUUCCGACUCAGACCCCAAGGUAUCAGAGGACGCCGUCAUGUACGACGACAAGGAAGACUUCUCUCCCGAACCUGAUCAGGACUCUUCGAUCCGCACAUUCACUGCCGCUAAACUCGAUCCCAGCUCCGGAGCCAACGGUUCGAGUCGGAACACUAAGAUCAAGACGGAGAUCUCGACGGUGAAGCUUGAGGCUGGCGUGAGCUCAGUUGUGCCGAAGGAUGAGUCUGCUAAGAUAUCAACAGAUGAUACACAGACAGGUUUAGGUUUAAUCACUUUUAUGUUCUGUCCUUAAAAAAGUACAUUGACUUAUAUGAUCUGUAGGAACAAGCUGAGCGGCUCAAGUUUGUAUGUUAAGCAUAUGAUGUGGUAUCUUCCUUUUUUUCAAUCCCUUAGAGAAUUUUCAGAAUCUGUUACAGAGGAUUCGUCUGAAUAAUUUUGUUUGUUCUAGCUUGAUUGGGUUGAAGAACAUAUUUGCAAGACAGUUGCCUAAUAUGCCAAAGGAGUACAUUGUUUGCUUUCUCAUGGAUAUGUAUAAUGGAUUUUCUUUUAACUAAAGUGAAACAUGAGUUUUCUUUUGCAAGAGCUGUUCUUUGUUGGAAGCUUUCUGAUAUCUGCAACUUGUGUUGUUUACCCCCCCCCCCAGGAAACAUAAGUCAGUCAUGGUCGUAAGACCUCCUGCUGCAGGUGGUAGUGGUAUCACUCAUGUUGUAGGUGGCAUCACGUAUCGUCCAAAUCACAGAUGUUGGGUGGGCAAAUUCAAUCUGUACAAGGUUCUGACCUUAAGGACGUUGAAGUGAUGACUUGAAUUGUCGUCCGUCUUGAAUUGUCGUCCGUUUUGUCAUUGAACCGACGGUGGUGGUGUACCUGUCUUUAUGUGACGAAGCUGCGGCAAUGUGUAGGAGUCUCAUCAGCCAGGUGAUAGAAGCCAGUCUGUCAUGGUGGUCACUACUGUGAAUCCCAAUAUAUUUGGAGGUAACCUGUACCUCAACUCCACCCCAGCUACGAUUUUUUUUUUUUUUUGACACUGCCAUUCCAGCCAUCGCAGAGUUCACAGCCAGGUUAGGAGGUCAGUAGGAGAAGCCAAGGAAGGGAUUAAAAAGAAGGGACUUGUCUCAGUAGGGAUCUAAACAAAUGCAUCUCCAAUUCUAACGGGCAGUGAAGACACAGGAAGCUGAUUUUAUUUGCUAUGCUCGGGUUGUUGAGGUCCUGCGACAAAAUGGCAGGUCUUUUGUCUUUUGCACUGGAUGCAGCAGGAAGCUAGACAAAUCUGGCACUUUUUUCCGUUGCAAUCGUUGUGAUAAUCCCAAUGUGACCGGUGUUAUAAAAUACCGUGUUGAACUAUCAGUUGAUGAUGGGAGCGACAAUGCCACUUUUGUGGUGUUCGACAGAAAGAUGCUUAAACUCACUAAACAAGAUGCAGCUGUUCUAGCUCUCGAUGAGAUGAAUGGUGGUGGCGGUGAUGAACUGCCACACUGCCUUAAAGAACUUGAUGGAAAAGAUUUUGUAUUUCAGAUACGUGUGACACCAUACAAUUUCACCUCAAACCACCGCACUUUCACUGUUUCUGGAAUCAGUGACCACAUCAACCCGAGACUUUCAACACCAAUGAAGCUCCAUUGUUGAAGGGGAAGGUAGUGAAGCAUCCGCUUCUGUCAGCAACACGCUUGGAGGUCAAGGCGAUGAGCCAAAUCCAUCCGGGUAUGAAGGCAAAGAGGGUGGUGGCCGCAAACGCCCCUGUGAGUGAAGUUACAGAGCUGUUAAACGGUCAACACAACUCUGCUUUCGUCUCAUUAUAAUUUCCUAAAUUGCUAUUCAUUUCCUAUUUCAGACUUUGCAAUAUUUUUCCCAAUUUCCUGUUUUUUUUAAGCCAUUUACGGCAAAGUAACUCUCUCGAGGAGAAGAUUUUCUGAUAUUUAAUAGUAAAAAUGAAGGUUGACAUAAUA
This is a long non-coding RNA of Brassica napus (rape), 2141 nucleotides long. RefSeq lists it as uncharacterized. The transcript is spliced from 9 exons. The record is from RefSeq and is a predicted model, not a curated record. Lineage: Eukaryota; Viridiplantae; Streptophyta; Magnoliopsida; Brassicales; Brassicaceae.